This is a long non-coding RNA of Mercurialis annua (annual mercury), 4355 nucleotides long. RefSeq lists it as uncharacterized. The record is from RefSeq and is a predicted model, not a curated record. The transcript has 2 exons. NCBI's taxonomy places the organism in Eukaryota, Viridiplantae, Streptophyta, Magnoliopsida, Malpighiales, Euphorbiaceae.
UAGAGAUUUCAUGGGUCGUCUAUCAUACUUGUUUGUGCAUGCGAUACAGAGCCUAUCUGGUUGAACUAUCCCGGGGCCUGUAUCUGCGAGUCGGCUGGUUGAACUAUCCCGGACUCAUAUCGAUCGAUCGUUAGAUGUUGUGAUAAUGUUCAUUAUGCAUACUAAGGUAUUAGGGUUUCGAUCGGAUCAAAUGCUUGAAGUAUAAUAUGUUUGUAUAUAUGUGUUUGUUUUAAAUGCGAUGUUAUUUUCUAUAAUACCCUAGUAAUGUGUUUUCUCACUCAGUAUUUCCCCAAAUACUGACCCCUCACAUUGAUGUUUUCAGGUGUUUAGAGUCGGAUCAGACAGACCGUCUUUGGUGUGCUGAGUACGAGUCCCCUUGGUGCUGCAGUAGUAUACGUAUGACGAGUCUUAGCAUAGAAUAGUCAGGUCUUAUAGGUUGUGUACAUAUUUAAUGUUUGUUUGAUGUGACGUCUUUUGGUUGUCAGUUUUGUAUUGAUCGAUAGACGGGCUAGUACGUACAAGUUACGGAAGUGAGAUGCCCACUAUGGUUGUAUCGAUGAUGUGAUAUAUAUGAUGUACGUUAUGAUUGUAAACGUGUCUUCUUAUUACAUGUUUAUAGGAUAGUUGUGUUUGCGUUUCCGCGAAAAAGUUAGAGUGGUUUUAGGCUUGCUACGGGUUUCGGAGCUACCACUCCCAUUCCCUAGCGCCGGUCUCGGCUCAAUAAUUUGGGUCGUGACAAAGUUGGUAUCAGAGCAGUUGGUCCAGUUACCUCUGCUAAUAUAUGAUUUGAGUGCAGUUAGUCCAUGAUACCACUGCGAGUCUGUGAUUGAUGUUUGUUUGUUCCUAGGUAUUAGGUCAUUAGACUAAGCUAGGAACUACUGCAGCUAUAGAAUUGAGCCAUGUCUGAUCCAAGUCGUUUGUAUUAUUUGUUUUAAGAUCGAGCUGAUUGAUUGUGAAUUUUUGAUUGAUUGAGAAUUCUUGUUUGUUUCAUUAUGAUAAGUAUGAUCGAUGGAUUGUGAAACCUUUGUUUGUUUCUUUGCGAAAUACGUAUACGAUGUAUAGAUGGUAUCGAAAUCGAAUUAUCGAAAUGUCGAGAUGUGCAAGAGGAAGGAGUAUGAAGUUACAGAAGUGGAAGAACCUACCGUGUACAGAGUUUAAAUGUCUAGAGAACUUACAAAACUCGAAGUUUAAAACUUUUUGAAAGUUGUUUGUUUAAACAAUUUGGAAAACAUAAUUGUGCCUAGACCCGCGACAGUCAUCGAUAAGUGCCACGACAUUGAUAGAAGUGCAUCACUACAUAUAUCUGUACAUACAUCGAUAGGACAUGCAUCAUAUGCAUUAUGUUCGGACGAAAAGGUGAGAUGUGGCAACUCUUUGGGGAUGAGAGACGUCAUCACCCUAGUGCACAAUUUUGUUAAAAUGAAAAUGAAAUUUGAUUUAAAGUUCAAGAUGAAUCGUUUUAUCGAAAGAGUUUUGAAAGAGUUUUGUUUUCAUGUAAGUAUACCUAGACCAGAACUCUGUAACGGAAGUGAAGUGCUCGCGAGCAAGCUGCGAUCAAGACCAAGAGGCGAAUGAAUACGUAUAGUUGCGAAAACAUAGACGUUAUGCUUCUAGGAUAUGAACUUAGUUUCAAGUUAACGAGCUAGUAUAUAGUUAAGAUCGUGAAUACGUUGGACAGUGAUAUGUACCCGAUUAGUGAUGUGUUAGAAAGUAAGUAUCUCUUUGACGGGAUGUCAAAGAUCUUAAACAAGGAUAUAAGAGAAGAAGUGGAUAUGAAGGAUGAAGUUUGUAUAAGAGAAGUGAAUGAUAGAUGUACGUGAAUAGCGGAAUGAAAAUGAUUGGACGGUGAACUAGGACGUUCAUAUUGUAUGAUAGGAGUAUGAAAAGAGGAUAGUUGAGUAUAGGAAUCGAUUUAUAGUUUAUGCUUUGAAGAUAGAAGAUUGCCCUUAUGAUAAGAUGAUGUGAAUAUUGCGUGAUAUUAGAAAAUCGUCAAUGAUGGAAUGACGAUAUGAUUAUACAUUUUGGAGCUAAAGAUGUUAACGAUUUAAGAUAAAUUAAAAGGUAAUAUGAAAAUUCGAGGACGAAUUUUUAUAAGGAGGGAAGAAUGUAAUACCCCGUAAGUUCAGGUGCCGUUUAGUACAACGUGUCCGGUAGAGAAGGACCGGAGUUACAGAACUAAGUAUAUUGGAUAUUAAAGAAAAGGAUAAUAUGGAGUAGGACGUAAUUGUUUAUGGAUUGGAAUAAGAAAAUAAGGAAAAAUAUCAAGAAAAGUCACAAACUAGAGUUCAGGGACUGAAGUGGUAAUUUAACCAGUUAAGUCCGAAAAUAGAAUUAUUUCGCCAAGGUCCGCGAAAUGUUUUAUAGUAUUGGUGGUAAAAGUUUCAGGUCAAUCGGAGACCUUUUAAAAUUUGGACGCGGAUUCAUUUUGGGCUAAAUUGUCAAUUUUGAAGAAUUCAAGGAUCAAAGUACAAAUUAGCCAAUUUAGCCUCGAGAAUAGUAAUUGGAAGAUUAUCGACGAGAAUAAUUAUAUUUGGAGUAGUAUUGUUUAUUUGGAUAUAAAUAAUACGUAGAUAAUCGAGUUAAAAGGAUAAUUUAACCGUUUGGUUAAAUUAGAAAGUUUAAAAGAGAAAUGGUUUAAGUUAAAGAAAUGAGGGACUAAAACGGCUAAUUAACCAAACAAUAUAAGAUAACAUUAAAGGAAUCAGAUGAUUCCAGAAAAGGGAAAGGAGCAGAAGGAGAUAGCAUCAGUGAAGGAAAAAUCGACGAUCAACUUCGGUUCGAUGUCGUUUCUUCGUUCCUCGACGGAAUUGCACGUUCUUUAUAUCGAUUUGUUCGGAAUUCAAUCCUCUAUCAUACUCAAGCUUCAAAUCAAGGUAAUUUUGUUGUUUUGGUUACUGAAAUCGGAGGUUACGGGCUGUUUCGACGAAAAAUGCUAUGUUUGAAUCGAAACGCUAAAAACACGUCGUUUUCCACCAUUUUCGUAUAGAUUCUUGAUAAGUUUUGAGCCUAGAUGAUUUAGGUAUGCAUUGGUAUGAAUUUUGGGGUAUUUGGAGCUUCGGAAAUGGUCCAGAAGCAUCAAAAAACGCUGCCCCCAAAGUGCGCACGACGUGCUGCACUUCAGCACGUCGUGCUGGUGCGCGACGUGCACCAGAAGGGUGCACGACGUGCACCACAAGGGUGCACGACGUGCACCAGUGAAGGGCACGUCGUGCCCUUCAUGAAAAAUGAAGGGCACGAGGUGCCAAGCUAGCACGACGUGCCCUACUUCGAUCGUGACCUCCGGGGGACUUCCGGGAGCGAAAAUUGGCCUCUGAUGGCAUGAUAUGGGCGUAGAACUCUGACAAAUGUCUUAAAAUGAAUAUUAAUAAGACAUUAUAGCAAUGAACAUUAACAUGAUGAGUAAUAGAGAUAUGAAUAGAGAUCUAUAGAGAAAGAUACGUUUAGAACACGACGAUUAUAUUUCGUGCUUUUGUCGUGUUAGGUACCUAGUGCAGUUUUUAAGAACAAGAUUCUCUAAGUAUAUAUUUUAACGAUAGAAUCCUGUGAUAGAUGUGACGGACUAUCGAUCUACGAGUAUGACGAACCAAGAAGCUCGACGAGGAUUGACGGACCAGUCUCCUGGAGCUUACGUUUGGAUAUAAGGAAUAGCGAUCGUUGUGUUUAGAGUCGGAUCAGACAGACCGUCUUUGGUGUGCUGAGUACGAGUCCCCUUGGUGCUGCAGUAGUAUACGUAUGACGAGUCUUAGCAUAGAAUAGUCAGGUCUUAUAGGUUGUGUACAUAUUUAAUGUUUGUUUGAUGUGACGUCUUUUGGUUGUCAGUUUUGUAUUGAUCGAUAGACGGGCUAGUACGUACAAGUUACGGAAGUGAGAUGCCCACUAUGGUUGUAUCGAUGAUGUGAUAUAUAUGAUGUACGUUAUGAUUGUAAACGUGUCUUCUUAUUACAUGUUUAUAGGAUAGUUGUGUUUGCGUUUCCGCGAAAAAGUUAGAGUGGUUUUAGGCUUGCUACGGGUUUCGGAGCUACCACUCCCAUUCCCUAGCGCCGGUCUCGGCUCAAUAAUUUGGGUCGUGACAAAGUUGGUAUCAGAGCAGUUGGUCCAGUUACCUCUGCUAAUAUAUGAUUUGAGUGCAGUUAGUCCAUGAUACCACUGCGAGUCUGUGAUUGAUGUUUGUUUGUUCCUAGGUAUUAGGUCAUUAGACUAAGCUAGGAACUACUGCAGCUAUAGAAUUGAGCCAUGUCUGAUCCAAGUCGUUUGUAUUAUUUGUUUUAAGAUCGAGCUGAUUGAUUGUGAAUUUUUGAUUGAUUGAGAAUUCUUGUUUGUUUCAUUAUGAUAAGUAUGAUCGAUGGAUUGUGAAA